Molecule: unclassified non-coding RNA, 455 nt
Filed under: Hevea brasiliensis (rubber tree)
Lineage: Eukaryota; Viridiplantae; Streptophyta; Magnoliopsida; Malpighiales; Euphorbiaceae
Source: RNAcentral
GGCCCAAAAUCAAUAAAACAAGUGGAUAGAAUUUGGGCAUAAAAAUGGACAAUCCAAUGACGAAGAAAACUCAUCUGACCUGUAAUAUAACAAAAUGUACAAUUUGGGGACUCAACUAACUCUCACAACCACAAUUAUAUCCAAUAUCACAAUGGGGAACUCAGCUCCCCCUAAGUCCAACAUUCCAUAUACAUAAUAAGUUUAACAAGUUUUACAACAUAAGAGAAACUAAUAUAGUCACUGCGGAGUUUUAAAUAUAACAAAAAUAAAUACAGUUAAUACAUCAAUAGUUUAAGUUUCUUUGCAAGAAAGAAAGUAGGUUAACUUCAAAUAAUAUCCACCGAUCACCUGGAAAAAAUAAUUGAAUAAGGAUGAGUGUUCGACUCAGAGAGCUAGAAAUUGAUUAUAAUUAUAAUUAAAAUUUCUAUAGCUAUCUAAAAUUAAUGCAAUCCUAA